UCUCGAGUGACAAAAAAGGAUGCAAAGCUGUAAAUUGCAAGAAGUUUAAGAGCUCAAGACACCUAUUUGAACCACCAUAAUCAAUUCCUCCAUACAGUCUAGCUAAAGAAUAUAAACUAAGCGUUUAUUGGAAGGCAAUUUAACCUCUUCCCUUUUAUUUAUUAUGCUUUCUAUACUAUAUUGAAUAUAGAUUUAUUAU
This 199-nucleotide long non-coding RNA is filed under the name Olea europaea (common olive). RNAcentral describes it as "long non-coding RNA (OEUR_LNC008370)". Lineage: Eukaryota; Viridiplantae; Streptophyta; Magnoliopsida; Lamiales; Oleaceae. The record is from RNAcentral.